UACGGUUGCUGAUACUGAU
RNAcentral lists this small nuclear RNA (19 nucleotides) under Arabidopsis thaliana (thale cress). RNAcentral describes it as "snRNA_03862". The record is from RNAcentral. Lineage: Eukaryota; Viridiplantae; Streptophyta; Magnoliopsida; Brassicales; Brassicaceae.